This 668-nucleotide long non-coding RNA is filed under the name Fukomys damarensis (Damara mole-rat). RNAcentral's name for it is "lncRNA (ENSFDAG00000028445.1)". Lineage: Eukaryota; Metazoa; Chordata; Mammalia; Rodentia; Bathyergidae. The record is from RNAcentral.
GCUGUAAUGACCUCCAACAGUUCCGCAGCCCCCUGCCUUGGGGAACCCCUGGCCAGGAGAAUACCCAUCCGCAGAAGGAAGAACUGGGCCUCGCUGAGAAACCUUGACUAAGGUGCUUCGGCAGUCAGGGUCGCCCCCACAGAUGACCAGGCGGCAUCCACUCGAGGCUGAGGAGGCCGUGUGUGGACACGGUAUGGACACCGCGAAGACUGGACUACAAGAUGCAGACGUGCAGUCUCCAGCAGGGAGGAGACUGCUUCACGACAGCCUGUCAGGGCGCUCCUGGGUUCCCUUCGCCAGGGAUGUCUCGAAUGUGCACUGUCAGAAAGGCCAUGAGCUGCCGGCACCCCUGUCCACCACAGGCUUGUGAGGAGGACUCUGCCCAGGAAGGACCCAGGACAGGGUUCUGCGUGCACUGAGCCUCUCAGGGUUGUUCCCCCAUCCUCUUUUUUUCUCCCUCUGUUCCCUCCUUCCCCUGACAUUUCUUCACAGCCUGUCCUUGACUCUCAGACAAGUCACCGGAUGCCAAGGGCACCUACUUCUGUCCUGGGGACGCUUGGGGCUAUUUGACAGUCAAGAGGAGCUGCUUAGACGGCCCCUAAACCGAGAAAAGUAUCCCAUGAUUGCACUUAUUCUAUUUGCCUUGUCCCCAACCCACCUGAACCCCA